Long non-coding RNA from Scophthalmus maximus (turbot), 1813 nucleotides. RefSeq lists it as uncharacterized. The transcript is spliced from 3 exons. Lineage: Eukaryota; Metazoa; Chordata; Actinopteri; Pleuronectiformes; Scophthalmidae. The record is from RefSeq and is a predicted model, not a curated record.
CUGUCCCUUCUGCAGUCAUGGCCUCUGGCUCCUCUCCCUCAGUUUCAGCAGGGGACUGGCCAAGAAUAAUCAUGAAGAGGUCAUUCUACUGUAUACACAGAUCAAACUUGAGCUGCCACUUGGGUCUGUCCUCUCCAAAACGUUUCUGUGAGUUUGGCACAUUUGGCAACGCCCCCCCCGGCCACUUCCUGAGAAGCUCUAUGGACCCAACCAACUCCAUAUGGGAGGAGGGGGGAACUCCCUCAGAUGGUACAGCCCAUCUGCUGCGCGGUGAACUUUGAGACAAGUGAACCAACUUGACAAUUGUCAGGUGUUGUUUUUCGACCGGCCCAAAAGUGAAGUGAAAGUGAAGCGGCCCACCGGUAAUCCGCCCGAAUCUCCCGAUUACCCGCUCCGCCCCUGCUCACACACUCACUCACACUCACUCUCACAGCCGUACACUUACAUGUAGACGUCUCAGGUUACAAGUCAGCUUCCCCUGUCAAUGUUGUUUCCUUGCCUCACUCUUUGAAUGAAUAACGGCAAAAGAAACCACAGCAGCAGUCCCUUCCCAGCCUGUUAGUUCUUGGUACUUCCUGGGUUUGUUUUGUUUAUACCUCGCCUCCUCUCGUGGAACCUGAAGCUGGUCUGGCCAUUGGCUUCCUGGGGGAGGGACUUCUGAGACUACUACUAAAAGUCUAAGCUAAUUUUAGAUACAAAAAAACUAAAACUCCAUCUAUGAGAGCCAACAGCAGUUUGUUUUGGACAGGAGACUUCUGAGGACAAUUCAGCUCCUGAAACAUGGAAUCCUUAUGUGGAGGAGGAGACUGCAAUGACAAUGGGUGUAAAGACAACUCCCUCGAUCCAACACUUCACAACACCACCUAUCGCCUUUUAUUGUUUUGAUAUUAGAGACCCUUAAUGAUAGAAAUAGAAGUUAAUGUGAAUAUUUACAAUCUUUGCCGUUUCACAGUUAAGACAUUAAGAGUUUGUGCAACUAUGUAGCAAUUUGAAAUGAAACCCUCAUCUGAGCUUGACAAAUUCCCUUAGCAUGAAUUCCCACUGCAGUUUUAACUUCACCUGUACCACAGAUCGAGUCUGUUGGAAUCCUGUGAAAUAAAGCCAGAGUCAUCGCCUUUGUAAUCAAACCCACUUUUAUUGGUUGUCUGUUAGAAAGCCUACACAGCAUGAAGGGCCUUCCAGCGGGACAGAGGGCCUCUGCUGGGGAUGUACUUCACCCCACAGCCAUCUGAGAUCAGACGCUUCUCAGCCAUCAUGUCAUCAAAGUCGCAGGCAUUGAACUUGGUGAAGCCAUACUUCUUGGAGAUAUGGAUCUAAAGGAGAAAACAACGACAGAAGUCCAUUCAGGCAUGAUAAACAAAAUUACAAUGAACUUUGAGUAAAAGCUCUUGAUGAGCACUUUGUCUCAGUGGUCCCUUAAAGCACUCAGCACCACCCAGCUGAGGACAUACACAACCACAGAGUCACUGUCUGCAGCCUUUGCACACUGGAACUGCACUGCAGCAGGAUCAGUCGGCUUAAUAAACUGCAGAGUGUUGGGGUUAACUCAGUUCCCAUGUUCCUCCUCGCAUGUGUUUCACGAUAAAAAUUGUUCCCAACACAACUGACCAAAAGAAAUAUAUAACCCAAAGUUCUGAGUGUUGAGAGGUGAUGUGCUGCUUUACCUUCUGGCGACCAGGGAACUUGAACUUGGCUCUGCGCAGAGCCUCGAUCACAUGCUCCUUGUUCUGGGCCUUGGUGCGCACGGACAUGAUAACCUGACCAAUGUGCACACGGGCCACGGUGCCCUGGGGUUUGCCGAAAGCACCACGCA